This 468-nucleotide ribosomal RNA is filed under the name uncultured bacterium. Its description in RNAcentral is "partial 16S ribosomal RNA". It matches the Rfam family "Bacterial small subunit ribosomal RNA", at positions 28 to 507 of the family's 1533-position model. The record is from RNAcentral.
GACGAACGCUGGCGGCGUGCUUAACACAUGCGAGUCGAACGGAAAGGCCCUGCUUUUGUGGGGUGCUCGAGUGGCGAACGGGUGAGUAACACGUGAGUAACCUGCCCUAGACUUUGGGAUAACUUCAGGAAACUGGGGCUAAUACCGGAUAGGAGCUCCUGCUGCAUGGUGGGGGUUGGAAAGUUUCGGCGGUUGGGGAUGGACUCGCGGCUUAUCAGCUUGUUGGUGGGGUAGUGGCUUACCAAGGCUUUGACGGGUAGCCGGCCUGAGAGGGUGACCGGCCACAUUGGGACUGAGAUACGGCCCAGACUCCUACGGGAGGCAGCAGUGGGGAAUAUUGCACAAUGGGCGGAAGCCUGAUGCAGCAACGCCGCGUGCGGGAUGACGGCCUUCGGGUUGUAAACCGCCUUCGCCUGUGACGAAGCGUGAGUGACGGUAAUGGGUAAAGAAGCACCGGCUAACUACGUG